AGCAGCCGCGGUAAUUCCAGCUCCAAUAGCGUAUAUUAAAGUUGUUGCAGUUAAAAAGCUCGUAGUUGAAUUUUAGGCCUGGCCGGGCGGUCCGUCUUUGGCGAGUACUGUCCUGUGUCGGGUCCACCUUCUGGUGAACCAGUAUGUCCUUUAUUGGGUGUGCCGGGGAGCCAGGACCAUUACCUUGAAAAAUUAGAGUGUUUAAAGCAGGCAUUUGCUUGAAUAGAUUAGCAUGGAAUAAUAGAAUAGGACGUUGUGGUUCUAUUUUGUUGGUUUCUAGGACCACCGUAAUGAUUAAUAGGGAUAGUUGGGGGCAUUAGUAUUCAAUUGUCAGAGGUGAAAUUCUUGGAUUUAUUGAAGACUAACUAUUGCGAAAGCAUUUGCCAAGGAUGUUUCAUUAAUCAAGAACGAAAGUUAGGGGAUCGAAGACGAUCAGAUACGUCGUAGUCUUAACCAUAAACUAUGCCGACUAGGAAUCGGGCGUACGUUUAUUUUCAUGACUCGCUCGGCGCCUUAGUGG
RNAcentral lists this ribosomal RNA (520 nucleotides) under uncultured Archaeospora. RNAcentral describes it as "SSU rRNA". It matches the Rfam family "Eukaryotic small subunit ribosomal RNA", at positions 569 to 1094 of the family's 1831-position model. The record is from RNAcentral. Lineage: Eukaryota; Fungi; Glomeromycota; Glomeromycetes; Archaeosporales; Archaeosporaceae.